CUGACACAGGGAGGUAGUGACAAGAAAUAACAAUACAGGGCUAAUGUCUUGUAAUUGGAAUGAUGGUGACCCAAACCCUCACCAGAGUAGCAAUUGGAGGGCAAGUCUGGUGCCAGCAGCCGCGGUAAUUCCAGCUCCAAUAGCGUAUAUUAAACUUGUUGCAGUUAAAAAGCUCGUAGUUGAAUUUUAGCGUGUUCGAGUUUGCCAUUCGUUUGGCUUUUUCGAGUUCGCUUUUGGGUUUUCCCUUUUUACUUUGAGAAAAUUAGAGUGUUUCAAGCAGACUUUUGUCUUGAAUACUUCAGCAUGGAAUAAUAGAGUAGGACUUUGGUUCUAUUUUGUUGGUUAUUGAACCUUAGUAAUGGUUAAUAGGAACGGUUGGGGGCA
RNAcentral lists this ribosomal RNA (384 nucleotides) under Babesia vogeli. RNAcentral describes it as "SSU rRNA". It matches the Rfam family "Eukaryotic small subunit ribosomal RNA", at positions 451 to 890 of the family's 1831-position model. The record is from RNAcentral. Lineage: Eukaryota; Apicomplexa; Aconoidasida; Piroplasmida; Babesiidae.